RNAcentral lists this ribosomal RNA (484 nucleotides) under uncultured bacterium. Its description in RNAcentral is "partial 16S ribosomal RNA". It matches the Rfam family "Bacterial small subunit ribosomal RNA", at positions 30 to 507 of the family's 1533-position model. The record is from RNAcentral.
AUUGAACGCUGGCGGCAUGCUUUACACAUGCAAGUCGAACGGCAGCGCGGGCUUCGGCCUGGCGGCGAGUUGCGAACGGGUGAGUAAUACAUCGGAACGUGCCCAGUAUUGGGGGAUAGCUCGGCGAAAGCCGGAUUAAUACCGCAUACGACCUGAGGGUGAAAGCGGGGGAUCUUCGGACCUCGCGCUAUUUGAGCGGCCGAUGGCAGAUUAGCUAGUUGGUGUGGUAAAGGCCUACCAAGGCGACGAUCUGUAGCUGGUCUGAGAGGACGACCAGCCACACUGGAACUGAGACACGGCCCAGACUCCUACGGGAGGCAGCAGUGGGGAAUUUUGGACAAUGGGCGAAAGCCUGAUCCAGCAAUGCCGCGUGUGUGAUGAAGGCCUUCGGGUUGUAAAGCACUUUUGGCGGGAACGAAAAGGACUGUGCCAAUACCACGGUUCGAUGACGGUACCCGAAGAAUAAGCACCGGCUAACUACGUG